Molecule: ribosomal RNA, 198 nt
Filed under: uncultured bacterium
Lineage: Bacteria
Description: partial 16S ribosomal RNA
Rfam family: Bacterial small subunit ribosomal RNA
Source: RNAcentral
ACGCUCGACACCUACGGGGGGCAGCAGUGGGGAAUAUUGCACAAUGGGGGAAACCCUGAUGCAGCGACGCCGCGUGAGCGAAGAAGUAUCUCGGUAUGUAAAGCUCUAUCAGCAGGGAAGAAGAUGACGGUACCUGACUAAGAAGCACCGGCUAAAUACGUGCCGGCAGCCGCGGUAAUCUGAGCGGGCUGGCAAGGC